This 3850-nucleotide long non-coding RNA is filed under the name Podarcis lilfordi (Lilford's wall lizard). The record is from RNAcentral. Lineage: Eukaryota; Metazoa; Chordata; Lepidosauria; Squamata; Lacertidae.
AAUGCACACACCACGUGGGCCUUCUUGCCAGCAAGCAGCCACAGUAGCAGCCCCAUCAGUACUGUGGCAUUUUGGAGUUACCUUUUACAUUUCCCACAAUGCCCUGGAGUGACGCUACAUUGGGGAAAGACUCCAGAGCAUUGUAGGAAAGGUAAAUGGUGCCAUACUGCUCAGAGUGUCACAAAAGAAGGGCCCCCAUCAGCAAUGGGCCUAGGCAGCUGCCCAGAAAUGCCUAUUGCGUCUUCUGAUCUUGAUGUGGAAUUGCAGGUAGGCGAACUUUCUCUUAAUCUAACCUCCGGUCAAUGUGGGAAGACAGGAGAUCGCCUAACCUGACAAGGCAGUGGGUGAGACACCAGCCACCUUAGCACCAGAGCAGAGGGCUAACAUUUCGGAUUUAAAAGUAUAGUGGACAAUGAGUAAGGAAAAGUAAAAAUGAAACGUUGGUUGCUGUGCCAGCGUUUGCCUCUGCCACCUCCAAAUGGGAUGUAGAUCCUGAAAUGUUGCCCAGAAAGGAUUGUGACUUUGAGCUGCUGAACAUGAGCAAACACGUCAAAUGACCAAGCUAUUGUUAUCAGCUGUGGGCAACAAGGAAUUUGGUGACGUACACCUGCUGAAGUAUUAUUUAUUUACUGAGCUAUAUCUUGCCUUCCCUCCCUCGAGGAGCCCAGGGAGGCAAAUAGAUACACAAGUUAAAAAGUUUUGUAUUCACGGAAUUAAUAUCAUGGCUAGUUUAGCCUUUCCUUUUGUCCAGACGGGAGAUAUACUUCAUUACUUUCUUACACUUGGUUCCUGUGGAAUUAUUGCCUUUUCUUUGUUCUAUGUUCCAUUAUAAACCAACUUGUUUGCUUCCAACCUGACUGUUUAGACGUUAUGCAAAGUGGGAAUUGUCUUAUUUGUUGCAAAAGGACUUCCCUGCAUCCUUUCCCAGAUCAGCUGAAGAACUGGAAAAAUACACACCCAUAUAUUUCAUUACAAGGGCAAAGAGUGAUUUUCCCAUCUCCGAAAAAGAAAGAAAGAAUUCACACUAUGUCCUUUGUUUCUUAAUAUUCCUUCUUGAAAAUUUACUUGGAGUUUGUACUGCCAAAGAGUAUCACAGAACUAUAUGUCCAAACCGAGUAAAACAUGGAGUGCUAUCUAGAGCACACUAUAUCAGUCUGAAGAAAUUGGCACUCCCUUGUGAACGCUACGUGUUCCUUUCUUAUCUUGCUGGUACAGAUCUCAGGCUUUUUAGUUUUCACAAUGACAUUUAAGUACAUGUCACAGCCCUGUGGAUAGUUUAGAAACAGGGUGGGGAAAACAGGGCAAGAAGGAUUCUGAUGUACUGGAGUUCAAGAACAAGGCAAUUUUGCCACACAUGAACACCAGAAUUUGCUGUUGCUAAAGUAUAUCAGUAUGUGGACAGAGAAUCUACCAUACCCAAUUCCCAGGACUCCAGGUGGUUUACAACAUGCUUCAAAAAAGUUACCAUGUUUGUCCACCAACUUACAAUACCACCAUCCUCAUCAUUGGACAUACUGUACAGCCCUCCCCAGGUACUGACUGCCAGACCCAAACUAAAAAGUCUGGCAAUGCUUCCACAAGAUGCUCAACUCUGGCAAGCUUCUAAGGUUUCCAUAAUUGUGGGGUGCUCCCAAUAAUACUUCUCUGUGUAUCCUCAACAUUUGGGCAGCUCACGGGUGGCAUGGUGAGAUGUCUGGGCCACAGGUGAGGAAGCUAGCCAUUUUAGCAUAUUAGGCAUUUAAUGCUUUAUAGAAUACCCCCAGCACACUGAUCAGACAAAGACAGAGAACAAGAACAGAACAGAACAGCACAAAACCCAUGUGCUUGCAGCAGCCAAACUCUAGGGCCACAUUCUGCACUAGCUGCAGCUUUUAAACCAGAGGUUGCCAGUGUGAUACCUGGAGGCAGCAGUGUGCCUGCCGGAACUUUCUAUGGUGCCUGCAAAUUGUUGCUGGCAUCUGCUUCAAGAGACAAUGGAGAAGUGCACUUUUGGAGGCAAGAUCAAGCUGUUGGACAGUUGCAGUACCUGCUGUGGCUGUAGAUACCAAUGUGGGAGAGACAUGUUUUGUUGCAGCUGGGGCAGAGGAAGGCAUCUGGUUGUGCUGCCGCAGAUGCACCGUGGCGUUUCUUAUCUCUGCGCUCUUCCCAGCAGUCAUUUCUCCUCUGUUCACUCCUAUGGGUACACAACUUGACUGCCAGUCUCUAGGCACUUCAGUUGUCUGCAAGGGAUUCCCACACGGUAGGGUUGAUGUUGCCAGCCUUUACGUUAUGUUUGCAGACAUAUUUGUAGCUUACAGUUGGUCUGCCAAUUGACCAGGUACCUGAAGCCAGCUCCCCAUAGAGCAGGGGUCAGCAGCCUUUUUCAGCCGUGGGCCAGUCCACCGUCCCUCAGACCAUGUGGUGGGCUGGACUAUUUUUGGGGGGGGGAGGGGGUAUGAACCAAUCCCUAUGCCCUACAAAUAACCCAGAGGUGCAUUUUAAAUAAAAGGGCACAUUCUACUCAUGUAAAAACACGCUGAUUCCCAGACCGUCUGCGGGCCGGAUUGAGAAGGCGAUUGGGCCAGAUCCGGCCCCCGGGCCUUAGGUUGCCUACCCCUGCCAUACAGCAUGUCUUUGGGGAUCCUGCCAUCUUCCAUUCUGUGGACAUGAUCAUGCCAGCGUAGACGUCACUGAGACAGGCCUCAGUAAAUCUCCCCUCAAAAAUCUGCAGUGAACAAGAGACUGUUUAUUCUUGCUGUUCAGCUCCUCUUUGUACAGGCUCAGCCUCUCCUACAUUGAAUAUGUCCCCUUAAACAUGCCCACAUUUCAUUGGAUGCCAGGAUCAGACACCCUUCCACCUGUUCUGAACAGAGUAGAAAUGCAAAGAGCUUCUCUCUAUGGAUGAUGGUGACUGAUAUAUUUGCUUUUUCCUGCAUCAAUUGGAGCUGGGGAUGCUCACAGCAUUUUGUGCUCAUCUCUUUUUCUGUUCUUGUAGAUAUGGCCGCCAUUUUGUUCAUACCCCAUGGCAGCCAUUUUGUGUUAUGUCAUUCCCUCAUGGCAGCUGGCAUUUUGUGGCUGCCACCCAUUAUGCCUUCUCAAAAAUCCAAAUUUGUCCACUGGUCCAAAGAGGUUUGCCACCUCUUAUCUAAAAAUUAAUGAAGGGCAGCCCAAUGUAGGAGUUCCCAGGACAGAAGGUAGAUAAGCUCUCCAUAAAUUUCCUAGCUUUUGUCCAGAGUCUCAUUAUGGCAUUCUUUGUACUAUGAACACAUAAACUUAUUUUAAAUCAAAAUCAUCUGAAAUGUUCUUCAGUUAAAUUGCUACCCACAUAACACAAUUAUACAUUUUGAGAGAAAGAAAGAAUAAAAUCUAAACUCCUACCCUUUAAAUAUGCUUCAUUUUAGGUGCAGAAAUGUGAGAUAACUAAGCCAAGCAACACUGUCAUGCUGCCUGCAUGAACUGCACAAAAUGUUCAGAUCUAUUACUUCUUUUCUUCUCCCCCUUCCUGACUAGUGGGAUCCUCAUGUGCUUGCUGUAGAUCUGUGACAAAAGUCUAAUAGAAAAGCGAAGAUAAAGCCUGGACUUUUCAAGGUGAGACAAAACGACUCAUGACCCACAUCUUCAGAACCGCAGUUAAUGGCGAUAAUGAACACUCCGUGGGACAGCAAGCAUUUGAAACUGGAUCAAUUGCUAAGCAAACUGAACAGCCUAGCAAAGGGGGGGGGAGUGAGCAUAAUACUGCAGAAUCUUCAAUAGCACAAAAGAAAUCCACACGCUUUGACAGCAACCAAACAAGUUUCUGGAUAAUGAAAUUGAACAUUUGCAGAUCUUAUCAGUGCAGAAAAUGGAUUAUUGGGUGCGGUGGAGAGGUGGG